Molecule: ribosomal RNA, 274 nt
Filed under: uncultured bacterium
Lineage: Bacteria
Description: partial 16S ribosomal RNA
Rfam family: Bacterial small subunit ribosomal RNA
Source: RNAcentral
AUACAGAGGGUGCAGGCGUUAAUCGGAAUUACUGGGCGUAAAGCGCGCGUAGGCGGUUUAAUCAGUCGGAUGUGAAAGCCCCGGGCUCAACCUGGGAACUGCAUUCGAUACUGUUAAGCUAGAGUAUGGUAGAGGGAAGUGGAAUUCCAGGUGUAGCGGUGAAAUGCGUAGAUAUCUGGAGGUACAUCAGUGGCGAAGGCGACUUCCUGGACCAAUACUGACGCUGAGGUGCGAAAGCGUGGGGAACAAACAGGAUUAGAAACCCUAGUAGUCC